Long non-coding RNA from Capsicum annuum, 1181 nucleotides. RefSeq lists it as uncharacterized. The record is from RefSeq and is a predicted model, not a curated record. The transcript has 2 exons. Lineage: Eukaryota; Viridiplantae; Streptophyta; Magnoliopsida; Solanales; Solanaceae.
UUUUUUAAAAAUAAAUAAUAAAAAAAAAUAAAGUAUGGUUUAGUAACACCAAAAUAUGGGUUUUGAAAUCUUUUCAAGUUCUACUAGGUGAACUGUUGUCAUUGAAAACAAGAGACGAACGAAUGCCUUUUAAUGGUAGAUAAGUUUUAGGCACGUUUAAUAUAUUUGUCUUGAUUAAGAAUGCGAAAUACGCAUCUUUUUAAGACAUUAAAAAAUAAUUCGAGGAUGCAAUAAUGCACCUCGAUAAAGAACGUCCUAAAAAUUAGUUAACUUUCACUAGCUUAAUACAAGAGGUAUAGACAACAGACAUUAAAGAUGAGCGAUUUAAAUCCUGCAAACAUAAUUUAUCCAAAAUAGUUAAAGCUAAGUAUAAGUUGAUAAAAGAGACCGUGCUUAAACCACGGGACUCAAGGGGUGCCUCACACCUUCCCCUCGGUCAACAGAAUUUCUUACCUGGUCUUCUAUUUCCGCAGAUCAAUAAAGAGUCAUUUUCUUUUGAUUGGGGAUUCAAUAAGGUGACUUGGAACACCAUAACUCAAUUUCAAGUGGCGACUUUGUAAUUAAAAUAAUCCCUAUUCAAUAACGUCACUUUAAUUUAAAAAAACCUUCAACUCAAUCCUUGGACGAAAAAGGGGUGCGACAGUAUCAAGAGUAGAUGAAUAUACCAUCGUUGUCGGAAGCCAUGUGAAUUCCUCUACUGGAUGCAUUAAGAAGUAUGAAGCAUAUUACUCUCAUCAAUGAGCGUACAUACACCAAGAAAAAAAAUGUUGAAGAUACUUGCAGUUAGAUGGAAGUCAUGAGAGAACCUCAAGAAAAUCACCUUGAAGUUGAAUCAACCGAGCAUGAAAGUCCACUUAUAGUGUUUGAUCGGUCAAACUAAAGCUAACACACUACUGGCCAAAAGAUAAAAUUUCAAAACUUAAAAAGCCAACAAUUUGGUAUAGUGUCAAGGCUAGACAUCAGAUAAUGUUUCAUUUUUUCUUUUGAAGAAUGGUAUAAAGUGGAGGUGUAUUGGAUCCACUGAUGAAUAGAGAAGAAGCAGUAGUGUGGGAAGACAAUUUUGAUUUUGUUUUCAAAAAUAUCAAACUAAGAAGACGUGCGUGAGUGGGAGUUUUGAGAUUUGCUAAGACGUGGGAUACUGGGGUUUUAAUUAUCCUAUUAAUAUGAUGGCAGUUUAGGAA